UAAAGAUAUGUGUAGAUGUUUUGU
Molecule: non-coding RNA, 24 nt
Filed under: Cricetulus griseus (Chinese hamster)
Lineage: Eukaryota; Metazoa; Chordata; Mammalia; Rodentia; Cricetidae
Source: RNAcentral